Molecule: transfer RNA, 72 nt
Rfam family: tRNA
About the family: Transfer RNA (tRNA) molecules are approximately 80 nucleotides in length. Their secondary structure includes four short double-helical elements and three loops (D, anti-codon, and T loops).
Source: Rfam
GGCUUCCUAGUGUAAUGGUUAUCACAGCGGAUUUUGAUUCCGCUAAUCUGAGUUCGAUUCUCGGGGAGGCCU